ACUCAAAUGAAUAGACGGGGGCCCGCACAAGCGGUGGAGCAUGUGGAUUAAUUCGAUGCAACGCGAAGAACCUUACCAAGGCUUGACAUGGAGAUGACAGGUGCAGAAAUGUACCGUUCCCUUCGGGGACAUCUCACACAGGUGGUGCAUGGUUGUCGUCAGCUCGUGUCGUGAGAUGUUGGGUUAAGUCCCGCAACGAGCGCAACCCUUAUCUUUAGUUUCCAGCACGUAAAGGUGGGCACGCUAGAGAGACUGCCGUGGAUAACACGGAGGAAGGUGGGGAUGAUGUCAAAUCAUCAUGCCCCUUACGCCUUGGGCUUCACACGUGCUACAAUGGUCUUUACAGCGUGAAGCGAAGCUGCGAAGUGGAGCGAACCACUAAAAAAGACCCCAGUUCGGAUUGUAGGCUGCAACUCGCCUGCAUGAAGUUGGAAUCGCUAGUAAUCGCGAAUCAGCAUGUCGCGGUGAAUACGUUCCCGGGCCUUGUACACACCGCCCGU
RNAcentral lists this ribosomal RNA (500 nucleotides) under uncultured bacterium. RNAcentral's name for it is "bacterial SSU rRNA". It matches the Rfam family "Bacterial small subunit ribosomal RNA", at positions 899 to 1397 of the family's 1533-position model. The record is from RNAcentral.